GUGGAUUAGAUACCCGGGUAGUCCACGCCCUAAACGAUGUCAACUGGUUGUUGGUGGGGUUAAACCCAUUAGUAACGAAGCUAACGCGUGAAGUUGACCGCCUGGGGAGUACGGCCGCAAGGUUAAAACUCAAAGGAAUUGACGGGGACCCGCACAAGCGGUGGAUGAUGUGGAUUAAUUCGAUGCAACGCGAAGAACCUUACCUACCCUUGACAUGCCAGGGAGCUCGAUGAGAGUCGAGUGUGCCCGAAAGGGAGCCUGGACACAGGUGCUGCACGGUCGUCGACAGCU
This 291-nucleotide ribosomal RNA is filed under the name uncultured bacterium. RNAcentral's name for it is "partial 16S ribosomal RNA". It matches the Rfam family "Bacterial small subunit ribosomal RNA", at positions 773 to 1060 of the family's 1533-position model. The record is from RNAcentral.